Molecule: ribosomal RNA, 567 nt
Filed under: uncultured bacterium
Lineage: Bacteria
Description: bacterial SSU rRNA
Rfam family: Bacterial small subunit ribosomal RNA
Source: RNAcentral
AUUCCUACGGGAGGCAGCAGUGAGGAAUAUUGGUCAAUGGACGCAAGUCUGAGGCAGCAACGCCGCGUGGGCGAUGAAGGCCUUCGGGUUGUAAAGCCCUUUUCUGGGGGAAGAGGAAGGACGGUACCUCAGGAAUAAGUCACGGCUAACUACGUGCCAGCAGCCGCGGUAAUACGUAGGUGGCAAGCGUUAUCCGGAUUCACUGGGCGUAAAGCGCGUGCAGGCGGUUUCGUAAGUCGGACGUGAAAGCUCCUGGCUUAACUGGGAGAGGUCGUUCGAUACUGCGGGGCUUGAGGUCGGGAGAGGGACGUGGAAUUCCCGGUGUAGUGGUGGAAUGCGUAGAUAUCGGGAGGAACACCAGUGGCGAAGGCGACGUCCUGGCCCGCACCUGACGCUGAGACGCGAAAGCGUGGGUAGCGAACGGGAUUAGAUACCCCGGUAGUCCACGCUGUAAACGGUGGGUACUAGGUGUUGGUGGCUAUCGUCAUCAGUGCCGUAGCUAACGCGUUAAGUACCCCGCCUGGGGACUACGGCCGCAAGGCUAAAACUCAAAUGAAUUGACGGAAU